GGGGCUGAUUCUGGAUUCGACGGGAUUUGCGAAACCCAAGGUGCAUGCCGAGGGGCGGUUGGCCUCGUAAAAAGCCGCAAAAAAAUAGUCGCAAACGACGAAAACUACGCUUUAGCAGCUUAAUAAC
This 127-nucleotide transfer-messenger RNA is filed under the name Klebsiella oxytoca. RNAcentral's name for it is "partial transfer-messenger RNA". It matches the Rfam family "transfer-messenger RNA", at positions 1 to 132 of the family's 374-position model. Rfam says of the family: Bacterial tmRNA, also known as 10Sa RNA or SsrA, is named for its dual tRNA and mRNA-like properties. Its role is to liberate the mRNA from a stalled ribosome. To accomplish this part of the tmRNA is used as a reading frame that ends in a translation stop signal. The record is from RNAcentral. RNAcentral also lists the same sequence under 3 other names. Lineage: Bacteria; Pseudomonadati; Pseudomonadota; Gammaproteobacteria; Enterobacterales; Enterobacteriaceae.